CUCUGGCGCGGUCUCCCUAAAUACCGUUAGAGCUGCGUCAGAGGGGGGCGGGGUCCGGCUCCGCAAAGCAGAGUGCCAAACCCGGAAGUGUUACCGCAUGACAGUGGGAUGCCAAUGCCGACUGAGAGAGAGGGGAGGCGUGGGAGGUGCGUGCUGACAGGAAGAUGAGCUUUUCGCCAAAUUCAUUAUAGACUGUAAUGGAGCAAGUUGGGAACAACAUAAGACCACUGAGGAGAAAAUUGCAAUAGUCAAGGCAAGAGAGAGGGCAGUGGCAUGGACCAGCACCAUAGCUGUAUC
This is a non-coding RNA of Pelobates cultripes (western spadefoot toad), 297 nucleotides long. The record is from the annotation of a GenBank genome assembly. Lineage: Eukaryota; Metazoa; Chordata; Amphibia; Anura; Pelobatidae.